CAAUAGCGUAUAUUAAAGUUGUUGCGGUUAAAAAGCUCGUAGUUGGAUUUCUGUGGUAGGCAGCCGGUCCGCACUAUGUGCGAGUAUCUGGUUCGGCUACUGCAUCCUCCUGAAGAACGUUGGUGCGCUUCACUGCGUGGCACGGUAUUCAGGACUUUUACUUUGAGGAAAUUAGAGUGUUCACGGCAGGCGCUUGCCCUGAAUAUAUUAGCAUGGAAUAAUAGAAUAGGACUUUGGUUCUAUUUUGUUGGUUUCUAGGACCGAAGUAAUGAUUAAUAGGGACAGUUGGGGGCAUUAGUAUUUAAUUGUCAGAGGUGAAAUUCUUGGAUUUAUGAAAGACUAACUACUGCGAAAGCAUUUGCCAAGGAUGUUUUCAUUAAUCAAGAACGAAAGUUAGGGGAUCGAAGAUGAUCAGAU
This 417-nucleotide ribosomal RNA is filed under the name uncultured eukaryote. RNAcentral's name for it is "bacterial SSU rRNA". It matches the Rfam family "Eukaryotic small subunit ribosomal RNA", at positions 592 to 1013 of the family's 1831-position model. The record is from RNAcentral.